AGACCACCACGAUGACUUGUAAGCAACUCACUGUACUUUAGUAUCGGACUAUCUGAGUUUCUAACUUAGUGAUGGAAGGAUACUAGGUGCAGUCAAAUACUUAUCAAGUCGGUGUGUGAGUCAAGCUGAAAUUGACCUCUCUGAAUUGAUAGGAGAUAUGCAUCAGUGUAUUUCAAUUUAGCAAAAUCUUGAUCAGGAUAAUCUAUGAGA
This 210-nucleotide long non-coding RNA is filed under the name Elaeis guineensis (African oil palm). RNAcentral describes it as "long non-coding RNA (EGUI_LNC042116)". Lineage: Eukaryota; Viridiplantae; Streptophyta; Magnoliopsida; Arecales; Arecaceae. The record is from RNAcentral.